RNAcentral lists this ribosomal RNA (1559 nucleotides) under Epithamnolia rangiferinae. Its description in RNAcentral is "SSU rRNA". It matches the Rfam family "Eukaryotic small subunit ribosomal RNA", at positions 103 to 1524 of the family's 1831-position model. The record is from RNAcentral. Lineage: Eukaryota; Fungi; Ascomycota; Leotiomycetes; Phacidiales.
AAAUCAGUAUCGUUUAUUUGAUAGUACCUUACUACUUGGAUAACCGUGGUAAUUCUAGAGCUAAUACAUGCUAAAAACCUCGACUUCGGAAGGGGUGUAUUUAUUAGAUAAAAAACCAAUGCCCUUCGGGGCUCCUUGGUGAUUCAUGAUAACUUAACGAAUCGCAUGGCCUUGUGCCGGCGAUGGUUCAUUCAAAUUUCUGCCCUAUCAACUUUCGAUGGUAGGAUAGUGGCCUACCAUGGUUUCAACGGGUAACGGGGAAUUAGGGUUCUAUUCCGGAGAGGGAGCCUGAGAAACGGCUACCACAUCCAAGGAAGGCAGCAGGCGCGCAAAUUACCCAAUCCCGACACGGGGAGGUAGUGACAAUAAAUACUGAUACGGAGCUCUUUUGGGUUUCGUAAUUGGAAUGAGUACAAUUUAAAUCCCUUAACGAGGAACAAUUGGAGGGCAAGUCUGGUGCCAGCAGCCGCGGUAAUUCCAGCUCCAAUAGCGUAUAUUAAAGUUGUUGCAGUUAAAAAGCUCGUAGUUGAACCUUGGGCCUGGCUGGCCGGUCCGCCUCACCGCGUGCACUGGUCCGGCCGGGCCUUUCCUUCUGGGGAACCGCAUGCCCUUCACUGGGUGUGUCGGGGAUCCAGGACUUUUACUUUGAAAAAAUUAGAGUGUUCAAAGCAGGCCUAUGCUCGAAUACAUUAGCAUGGAAUAAUAGAAUAGGACGUGUGGUUCUAUUUUGUUGGUUUCUAGGACCGCCGUAAUGAUUAAUAGGGAUAGUCGGGGGCAUCAGUAUUCAAUUGUCAGAGGUGAAAUUCUUGGAUUUAUUGAAGACUAACUACUGCGAAAGCAUUUGCCAAGGAUGUUUUCAUUAAUCAGUGAACGAAAGUUAGGGGAUCGAAGACGAUCAGAUACCGUCGUAGUCUUAACCAUAAACUAUGCCGACUAGGGAUCGGGCGAUGUUAUUAUUUUGACUCGCUCGGCACCUUACGAGAAAUCAAAGUUUUUGGGUUCUGGGGGGAGUAUGGUCGCAAGGCUGAAACUUAAAGAAAUUGACGGAAGGGCACCAAAACCUACUGGUGGUGCCGCCCGAGUCCUACACGGGCGAGGCCUCUGAACUGUUAGGGAACAGCCGUACGGCGUACCCGCAGCCCCCUAGGGGCUCACAGGUCAAGUGGAGGUCGGCGGUGCACCGCUUAAGAUAUGAUCGGCCUCGGAGCGUCAGCUCGGAGACAAGUGCCAGGAGUGGAGCCUGCGGCUUAAUUUGACUCAACACGGGGAAACUCACCAGGUCCAGACACAAUAAGGAUUGACAGAUUGAGAGCUCUUUCUUGAUUUUGUGGGUGGUGGUGCAUGGCCGUUCCUAGUUGGUGGAGUGAUUUGUCUGCUUAAUUGCGAUAACGAACGAGACCUUAACCUGCUAAAUAGCCAGGCUAGCUUUGGCUGGUCGCCGGCUUCUUAGAGGGACUAUCGGCUCAAGCCGAUGGAAGUUUGAGGCAAUAACAGGUCUGUGAUGCCCUUAGAUGUUCUGGGCCGCACGCGCGCUACACUGACAGAGUCAACGAGUUCAU